RNAcentral lists this ribosomal RNA (432 nucleotides) under uncultured bacterium. Its description in RNAcentral is "bacterial SSU rRNA". It matches the Rfam family "Bacterial small subunit ribosomal RNA", at positions 355 to 786 of the family's 1533-position model. The record is from RNAcentral.
UGAGGAAUAUUGGUCAAUGGGCGGGAGCCUGAACCAGCCAAGCCGCGUGAAGGAAGAAGGCGCUAAGCGUCGUAAACAUCUUUUGUCCGGGAACAAAGGUCCGGACGUGUCCGGAUGAGAGUGUACCCGAAGAAAAAGCAUCGGCUAACUCCGUGCCAGCAGCCGCGGUAAUACGGAGGAUGCGAGCGUUAUCCGGAUUUAUUGGGUUUAAAGGGUGCGUAGGCGGUCUGUUAAGUCAGCGGUAAAAGCCCGGGGCUCAACCCGGCGAGCCGUUGAAACUGGCGGACUAGAGAGGGCGAGAAGUACGCGGAAUGCGCAGUGUAGCGGUGAAAUGCAUAGAUAUUGCGCAGAACUCCGAUUGCGAAGGCAGCGUACCGGCGCCUUUCUGACGCUGAGGCACGAAAGCGUGGGUAUCGAACAGGAUUAGAUACC